RNAcentral lists this small RNA (486 nucleotides) under Pan troglodytes (chimpanzee). Its description in RNAcentral is "retained intron". The record is from RNAcentral. Lineage: Eukaryota; Metazoa; Chordata; Mammalia; Primates; Hominidae.
CAGUGACCUGGGAGAGGCCACUCUGAAGAUUGUGGGCGUGACCACGGAAGAUGACGGCAUCUACACGUGCAUCGCUGUCAAUGACAUGGGUUCAGCCUCAUCGUCGGCCAGCCUGAGGGUCCUAGGUCCAGGGAUGGAUGGGAUCAUGGUGACCUGGAAAGACAACUUUGACUCCUUCUACAGUGAAGUGGCUGAGCUUGGCAGGGGCAGAUUCUCUGUCGUUAAGAAAUGUGAUCAGAAAGGAACCAAGCGAGCAGUGGCCACUAAGUUUGUGAACAAGAAGUUGAUGAAGCGCGACCAGGUCACCCAUGAGCUUGGCAUCCUGCAGAGCCUCCAGCACCCCCUGCUUGUCGGCCUCCUCGACACCUUUGAGACCCCCACCAGCUACAUCCUGGUCUUAGAAAUGUGCGUACACACCUGGCCUUCCCUCUGCCCAGCCCUCUGCCUCCACCUCAGGGGGUUUUGUUGUUCCUGUUUGUUCUCUAA